RNAcentral lists this microRNA precursor (71 nucleotides) under Theobroma cacao (cacao). RNAcentral's name for it is "pre miRNA MIR473". The record is from RNAcentral. Lineage: Eukaryota; Viridiplantae; Streptophyta; Magnoliopsida; Malvales; Malvaceae.
UUUCUUCACUCUCUUUGAGGGCUUCGAACUGUAGUUUAUUGAGCUUGAAGCCUUCGAAAGAGAGUGAAAAA